AAGUGGACGUAUAGGGUGUGACGCCUGCCCGGUGCUGGAAGAUUAAAUGAUGGGGUGCAAGCUCUUGAUUGAAGUCCCAGUAAACGGCGGCCGUAACUAUAACGGUCCUAAGGUAGCGAAAUUCCUUGUCGGGUAAGUUCCGACCUGCACGAAUGGCGUAACGAUGGCCACACUGUCUCCUCCCGAGACUCAGCGAAGUUGAAGUGUUUGUGAUGAUGCAAUCUACCCGCGGCUAGACGGAAAGACCCCAUGAACCUUUACUGUAGCUUUGCAUUGGACUUUGAACCAAUCUGUGUAGGAUAGGUGGGAGGCUUUGAAGCGGGGACGCCAGUUCUCGUGGAGCCAACCUUGAAAUACCACCCUGGUUUGUUUGAGGUUCUAACCUUGGUCCGUAAUCCGGAUCGGGGACAGUGCAUGGUAGGCAGUUUGACUGGGGCGGUCUCCUCCUAAAGUGUAACGGAGGAGUUCGAAGGUACGCUAGGUACGGUCGGACAUCGUGCUAAUAGUGCAAUGGCAUAAGCGUGCUUAACUGCGAGACUGACAAGUCGAGCAGGUACGAAAGUAGGACAUAGUGAUCCGGUGGUUCUGUAUGGAAGGGCCAUCGCUCAACGGAUAAAAGGUACUCUGGGGAUAACAGGCUGAUUCCUCCCAAGAGUUCAUAUCGACGGGGGAGUUUGGCACCUCGAUGUCGGCUCAUCACAUCCUGGGGCUGUAGCCGGUCCCAAGGGUAUGGCUGUUCGCCAUUUAAAGUGGUACGUGAGCUGGGUUUAAAACGUCGUGAGACAGUUUGGUCCCUAUCUGCCGUGGGCGUUGGAAAUUUGAAGGGGGCUGCUCCUAGUACGAGAGGACCGGAGUGGACAGACCUCUGGUGUACCGGUUGUCACGCCAGUGGCAUUGCCGGGUAGCUAAGUCUGGAAGAGAUAACCGCUGAAAGCAUCUAAGCGGGAAACUCGCCUUGAGAUGAGAUUUCCCGGAGCCUUGAGCUCCUUGAAGGGUCGUUCGAGACCAGGACGUUGAUAGGUCGGGUGUGGAAGUGCAGUAAUGCAUUAAGCUAACCGAUACUAAUUGCCCGUACGGCUUGUCCCU
Molecule: ribosomal RNA, 1086 nt
Filed under: Lysobacteraceae bacterium JGI 0001002-D18
Lineage: Bacteria; Pseudomonadati; Pseudomonadota; Gammaproteobacteria; Lysobacterales; Lysobacteraceae
Description: bacterial LSU rRNA
Rfam family: Bacterial large subunit ribosomal RNA
Source: RNAcentral